CAGAAAGUAGUUUAUAAUAAAAUAUAAGUUUUGGAAAUUUAUGAUACUAUAUAGUAGUUUUUCUGA
This 66-nucleotide transfer RNA is filed under the name Gibbosaverruca weijiai. Its description in RNAcentral is "tRNA-Pro". The record is from RNAcentral. Lineage: Eukaryota; Metazoa; Arthropoda; Thecostraca; Verrucomorpha; Verrucidae.